GAUGAACGCUGGCGGCGUGCCUAAUACAUGCGAGUCGAGCGAACAGACGAGGAGCUUGCUCCUCUGACGUUAGCGGCGGACGGGUGAGUAACACGUGGAUAACCUACCUAUAAGACUGGGAUAACUUCGGGAAACCGGAGCUAAUACCGGAUAAUAUAUUGAACCGCAUGGUUCAAUAGUGAAAGACGGUUUUGCUGUCACUUAUAGAUGGAUCCGCGCCGCAUUAGCUAGUUGGUAAGGUAACGGCUUACCAAGGCGACGAUGCGUAGGCGACCUGAGAGGGUGAUCGGCCACACUGGAACUGGGACACGGUCCAGACUCCUACGGGAGGCAGCAGUAGGGAAUCUUCCGCAAUGGGCGAAAGCCUGACGGAGCAACGCCGCGUGAGUGAUGAAGGUCUUCGGAUCGUAAAACUCUGUUAUUAGGGAAGAACAAAUGUGUAAGUAACUAUGCACGUCUUGACGGUACCUAAUCAGAAAGCCACGGCUAACUACGUG
RNAcentral lists this ribosomal RNA (497 nucleotides) under uncultured bacterium. Its description in RNAcentral is "partial 16S ribosomal RNA". It matches the Rfam family "Bacterial small subunit ribosomal RNA", at positions 28 to 507 of the family's 1533-position model. The record is from RNAcentral.